Non-coding RNA from Salvelinus sp. IW2-2015, 2281 nucleotides. Lineage: Eukaryota; Metazoa; Chordata; Actinopteri; Salmoniformes; Salmonidae. The record is from RefSeq and is a predicted model, not a curated record.
CCGAGUCUGUGAUGAGCGCAGCGGUCGGUAGGUGUUUGUUUGUAUGAUAAGUUAGUGCGCACCGCGUGCGUACAGUCAGUCUCUGAUGGAACUCCGUGGAAUACAGACUGGUGCCGCAACUGAGGCAGAACUCGGGACAAUUUAACUUCAAUUUUGAGCUUAUUAGUAUUUUUAUUAGGUUAUAUUUUAUUUUCUCUCACUUCAAGGGUGAUCACACUCCGUUAAGGCUGUAAAAAUGAUGACAGUGUAUUCACACAUUGGACAAUAAAUAGCCUGACUAUCAGAAAGCAUAAUAGGACGAGAAAGCACCUGAAUAAUUUUCUGUGCUCUAUCAAUCUACAGUCAAGUAUUUGUUCCAAGAAAACGAGCAGUGUUUCAUUUGUGUGCGCGUGGAUUUAAUUUCCGGAUAUCUAUCACUGUCAAGCAAUAUUGGACCCGUCCUACACAAAUCUAGGCUGUGCUGAUGUCGCCCGCGGACAGACGCACCGCUGGAUUGUAGCAGUGCCGAUGGAUUAAAACCUUUGGAGGGCGCGAAGGGAGCGGGGCAGCAGGAUGAGUGAGAGACACACCACAGCAAGGAAGUAAAGGGGUUCUACUUCUAAUGGUCUGCAUGGUGACUCUGCUGGAGAUGGCUAGACCAACAGAAGGUCACAGAGUGCAUCAAGUCAGAACCGGCACUUGUGAGGUUGUGGCUUUGCAUCGAUGCUGCAACAAGAACAAAAUAGAAGAACGCUCUCAAACGGUUAAAUGCUCCUGCUUCCCUGGACAAGUGGCCGGGACGACCAGAGCUGCCCCGUCUUGUGUAGAUGCCUCUAUAGUGGAGCAGAAGUGGUGGUGUCAGAUGCAUCCAUGUCUGGAUGGGGAGGAGUGUAAAGUCCUCCCAGAUCUAAAGGGAUGGAGCUGCGCCACGGGGAACAAGAUAAAGACUACCAAGAUCUCAUCGGACAGGGAUCAGCUCUGGUAACCCUUGAUGCCACGGAACCGAAUCAAGGUGGAUCAAUAAAUGUUACUGGGUCUUUACCUGUGGAAUACCAUCAUGGACUCAAGAACAUUGCAGYGACCCUUUUUGUAAAUAGAGACUCCCUCUAUUGGAGACUAUACUAUGAAUCUUCUGGAAGACUUAUAAGCACAGGGUAACAAAGGACAUCUGGAUGAGAAGAGAAGAGUGGACACUACUAAAUGAUUGCUCAGUAGAGGGGACCUUUAUUUUGAAAAGCCCAGACAUGACUAUCACCACAUUGGACAUCAGGAUGUCUUUUUAUUCUCUAACAUUGUUCUGCUUAUAGUGGAUUACAAUGGUUAAUUUUGCCUAAACAUUAUUUGUAAAGUGAUAGUUUUUCUUAGGGAAAUAGUUUUUUUCCCCACAGAAUGCAUUGUGCAUCAUAACUGUAACAGAGUAUCAUCAAUAUCAAGAAUUUCCCCCAUGAAUAUCAGGGACGAGUCAAAUUUGAUCCAGUUUUUAUCAAUUAAAUGAUGGUCAGAAAAUGGAAAGAAGAAGAAAUAUAAAAUUGGUGAACCUUAUUGUAUUGAGCCAAUCAUUGAACAUGCCGGGUGAUUUUCAAAGGAGCACAAAAAAGGCACAGGUACUGGAAUUGGCGUCUGUACACCUCCAUAUUUUUUAAAUGGGUGGCCAUCAUUGUGGGUGGCCGUUCGAUGGUGCUGCGCGCAGGGUACAUAGCUUAUUCAAAUGAGAGUUGCAGUCAAUGGCCAACCAAUGGCAGUUGAGAGAAUGUGAUGUAUCCAAGGCCAAAUUGAUGUAGACUACUGAUGUAUAGGGCAGACUACAAUGUAGGAUUUCCACCACCAAAACUGAAAACUGAAGGUCAUGUUUGAUUUGCAUGUUUUAUUCUAAGGGCAUCAUCUUUCAUUUCAUCUAGAGCAGAUUGGGGCACUAGGUGCAUACUUUUGAAAAUGUACACAUGAAUGAAAGUGGUGCGCAAAUGAGUUACCCCUAGUGUGCUUAGCGUUUGCUUAUGUUCUUUUGAAAAUCCUCCUAUCAACUGCCAGCUGAUCCAGUUAGUUUGUAUAUGUUGCACAAUGCUGAAGCUCAGAUUCGAAUGUCCAUGUAAAGUUUAUGUUAAUGUAUGCAAGCUAAAAUGCAUUCAUUCUACAAUACUGGCUAUAGUCCAUGGGGUUGGUAGGGGCCGGUUAAGUGUUAAAUACUUUUAAAAAUUCAUUUCUGAUUCGCUGAUAACUUUUCAACAGGUAUCUCUGACGCUUCCUUCGUCUGUGCAAGUGMUAACAUCUUCGAAUAAUAAACUGUGGUUGUGUCUUAACUUAA